Molecule: ribosomal RNA, 330 nt
Filed under: Triticum aestivum (bread wheat)
Lineage: Eukaryota; Viridiplantae; Streptophyta; Magnoliopsida; Poales; Poaceae
Description: partial small subunit ribosomal RNA
Source: RNAcentral
AUGUGCUUGUCCAUCCUGCCACGCUGGAUCAAUGCCGGGUCCAGCUUCUCCUUGUGGUUGGUGGUGAAGAUGAUGAUCCGCUCACCUCCGCAAGCAGACCACAGCCCAUCGAUGAAGUUAAGCAGGCCCGAGAGCGUCACCGGUAGCUUGGGCUUGUCAUCGUUGUCGGAGUCCUUGUCGCUUGAGGCCUUCUUGUCCUUGCGGCGUUUUCCUGUGAAGUCGACGGAGCAGUCGAUGUCCUCUAUGACGAUGAUGGACUUGCCCGUUGUCUCGAUGAAGAACUUCCACAACUCGGUGUUUUUCUUGACCGCCGUAAUCUCGAGGUCGUAG